GGGCAGGUACCCAAGUGGCCAACGGGGACUGACUGUAAAUCAGUUGGCUCAGCCUUCGGAGGUUCGAAUCCUUCCCUGCCCACCA
RNAcentral lists this transfer RNA (85 nucleotides) under Chloroflexota bacterium. Its description in RNAcentral is "Chloroflexi bacterium (hot springs metagenome) tRNA-Tyr". It matches the Rfam family "tRNA". From Rfam's summary of the family: Transfer RNA (tRNA) molecules are approximately 80 nucleotides in length. Their secondary structure includes four short double-helical elements and three loops (D, anti-codon, and T loops). Further hydrogen bonds mediate the characteristic L-shaped molecular structure. tRNAs have two regions of fundamental functional importance: the anti-codon, which is responsible for specific mRNA codon recognition, and the 3' end, to which the tRNAs corresponding amino acid is attached (by aminoacyl-tRNA synthetases). tRNAs cope with the degeneracy of the genetic code in two manners: having more than one tRNA (with a specific anti-codon) for a particular amino acid; and 'wobble' base-pairing, i.e. permitting non-standard base-pairing at the 3rd anti-codon position. The record is from RNAcentral. Lineage: Bacteria; Bacillati; Chloroflexota.